ACUAGUAUUGAUAGUGAAGCUUCUUAGUUGAAUUUGGUUUGGCCCCAUUAAUUUUCCUUUUUCUGUCUUGAUCAGACUGUCGCGUGUUUUCAUAAAAACUAUUUUCUUGUACUUCCACCCCAACUCAAAGGGACAGGUGCCUGAAUUUAGAACACAGGGCUCAGAGGCUGCUCGUGGCAAGCUCCGUUUUGUGGACCGUUUUUCAGAAAUGUUGGAAUCAGCUGCUAGCUUCGGAAAGCUGGGAGACAUCACCCAGGUUCACAUCUGGCUUCCUUGAACAAACCUGAUGGGCCAACAACAUCUGUUCUUUCCAUGGCAGCAGUCAGGAGCCCUGGAAAGGAGCAGCCUAGCAGGCCAGGAAAUGAUGGUUCCUGAGCAAAGAGCUCUCAGCACAAGCCUUGCCCUGUCCAGGUGCAGGUCCGGGAGAGGCCGCUUACCCGCUGGUGUGUCUACUGGGUUCCUGUGUUCCUCCCCAAGGCCUGGCAGCUUCUCUCAGACCCCUGUGCCGUCCUGGAUGCCACGGGGCCCUUCAGUUAGGACGGAGCAACAGAAGCAAGAAUGGCACAAAGGAAGAUGUCGG
Lepus europaeus (European hare) is the source of this 580-nucleotide long non-coding RNA. RefSeq lists it as uncharacterized. The record is from RefSeq and is a predicted model, not a curated record. The transcript has 3 exons. NCBI's taxonomy places the organism in Eukaryota, Metazoa, Chordata, Mammalia, Lagomorpha, Leporidae.